GUCAGGACGAACGCUGGCGGCGUGCUUAACACAUGCAAGUCGAACGAUGAACCUCCUUCGGGAGGGGAUUAGUGGCGAACGGGUGAGUAACACGUGGGCAAUCUGCCCUGCACUCUGGGACAAGCCCUGGAAACGGGGUCUAAUACCGGAUACUGACCCGCUUGGGCAUCCAAGCGGUUCGAAAGCUCCGGCGGUGCAGGAUGAGCCCGCGGCCUAUCAGCUUGUUGGUGAGGUAAUGGCUCACCAAGGCGACGACGGGUAGCCGGCCUGAGAGGGCGACCGGCCACACUGGGACUGAGACACGGCCCAGACUCCUACGGGAGGCAGCAGUGGGGAAUAUUGCACAAUGGGCGAAAGCCUGAUGCAGCGACGCCGCGUGAGGGAUGACGGCCUUCGGGUUGUAAACCUCUUUCAGCAGGGAAGAAGCGAAAGUGACGGUACCUGCAGAAGAAGCGCCGGCUAACUACGUGCCAGCAGCCGCGGUAAUACGUAGGGCGCGAGCGUUGUCCGGAAUUAUUGGGCGUAAAGAGCUCGUAGGCGGCUUGUCACGUCGGUUGUGAAAGCCCGGGGCUUAACCCCGGGUCUGCAGUCGAUACGGGCAGGCUAGAGUUCGGUAGGGGAGAUCGGAAUUCCUGGUGUAGCGGUGAAAUGCGCAGAUAUCAGGAGGAACACCGGUGGCGAAGGCGGAUCUCUGGGCCGAUACUGACGCUGAGGA
RNAcentral lists this ribosomal RNA (715 nucleotides) under Streptomyces griseoincarnatus. RNAcentral's name for it is "bacterial SSU rRNA". It matches the Rfam family "Bacterial small subunit ribosomal RNA", at positions 23 to 752 of the family's 1533-position model. The record is from RNAcentral. Lineage: Bacteria; Bacillati; Actinomycetota; Actinomycetes; Kitasatosporales; Streptomycetaceae.